This 494-nucleotide ribosomal RNA is filed under the name bacterium E8. RNAcentral describes it as "bacterial SSU rRNA". It matches the Rfam family "Bacterial small subunit ribosomal RNA", at positions 255 to 741 of the family's 1533-position model. The record is from RNAcentral.
GGGUAAUGGCUCACCUAGGCGACGAUCCCUAGCUGGUCUGAGAGGAUGACCAGCCACACUGGAACUGAGACACGGUCCAGACUCCUACGGGAGGCAGCAGUGGGGAAUAUUGCACAAUGGGCGCAAGCCUGAUGCAGCCAUGCCGCGUGUAUGAAGAAGGCCUUCGGGUUGUAAAGUACUUUCAGCGAGGAGGAAGGCAUUGUGGUUAAUAACCACAGUGAUUGACGUUACUCGCAGAAGAAGCACCGGCUAACUCCGUGCCAGCAGCCGCGGUAAUACGGAGGGUGCAAGCGUUAAUCGGAAUUACUGGGCGUAAAGCGCACGCAGGCGGUCUGUCAAGUCGGAUGUGAAAUCCCCGGGCUCAACCUGGGAACUGCAUUCGAAACUGGCAGGCUAGAGUCUUGUAGAGGGGGGUAGAAUUCCAGGUGUAGCGGUGAAAUGCGUAGAGAUCUGGAGGAAUACCGGUGGCGAAGGCGGCCCCCUGGACAAAGACU